GGGUUUGAUUAUGGCUCAGAUUGAACGCUGGCGGCAUGCCUUACACAUGCAAGUCGAACGGCAGCACGGGAGCAAUCCUGGUGGCGAGUGGCGAACGGGUGAGUAAUAUAUCGGAACGUGCCCAGUAGUGGGGGAUAACUGCUCGAAAGAGCAGCUAAUACCGCAUACGACCUGAGGGUGAAAGGGGGGGAUCGCAAGACCUCUCGCUAUUGGAGCGGCCGAUAUCAGAUUAGCUAGUUGGUGGGGUAAAGGCCUACCAAGGCAACGAUCUGUAGUUGGUCUGAGAGGACGACCAGCCACACUGGGACUGAGACACGGCCCAGACUCCUACGGGAGGCAGCAGUGGGGAAUUUUGGACAAUGGGCGCAAGCCUGAUCCAGCAAUGCCGCGUGCAGGAAGAAGGCCUUCGGGUUGUAAACUGCUUUUGUCAGGGAAGAAAUCCUCUAGGUUAAUACCCUUGGGGGGAUGACGGUACCUGAAGAAUAAGCACCGGCUAACUACGUGCCAGCAGCCGCGGUAAUACGUAGGGUGCAAGCGUUAAUCGGAAUUACUGGGCGUAAAGCGUGCGCAGGCGGCUUUGCAAGACAGAUGUGAAAUCCCCGGGCUCAACCUG
RNAcentral lists this ribosomal RNA (613 nucleotides) under uncultured bacterium. Its description in RNAcentral is "bacterial SSU rRNA". It matches the Rfam family "Bacterial small subunit ribosomal RNA", at positions 9 to 616 of the family's 1533-position model. The record is from RNAcentral.